This 848-nucleotide ribosomal RNA is filed under the name Escherichia sp. BAB-5779. Its description in RNAcentral is "bacterial SSU rRNA". It matches the Rfam family "Bacterial small subunit ribosomal RNA", at positions 20 to 859 of the family's 1533-position model. The record is from RNAcentral. Lineage: Bacteria; Pseudomonadati; Pseudomonadota; Gammaproteobacteria; Enterobacterales; Enterobacteriaceae.
UGGCUCAGAUUGAACGCUGGCGGCAGGCCUAACACAUGCAAGUCGAACGGUAACAGGAAGCAGCUUGCUUCUUUGCUGACGAGUGGCGGACGGGUGAGUAAUGUCUGGGAAACUGCCUGAUGGAGGGGGAUAACUACUGGAAACGGUAGCUAAUACCGCAUAACGUCGCAAGACCAAAGAGGGGGACCUUCGGGCCUCUUGCCAUCGGAUGUGCCCAGAUGGGAUUAGCUAGUAGGUGGGGUAACGGCUCACCUAGGCGACGAUCCCUAGCUGGUCUGAGAGGAUGACCAGCCACACUGGAACUGAGACACGGUCCAGACUCCUACGGGAGGCAGCAGUGGGGAAUAUUGCACAAUGGGCGCAAGCCUGAUGCAGCCAUGCCGCGUGUAUGAAGAAGGCCUUCGGGUUGUAAAGUACUUUCAGCGGGGAGGAAGGGAGUAAAGUUAAUACCUUUGCUCAUUGACGUUACCCGCAGAAGAAGCACCGGCUAACUCCGUGCCAGCAGCCGCGGUAAUACGGAGGGUGCAAGCGUUAAUCGGAAUUACUGGGCGUAAAGCGCACGCAGGGGGUUUGUUAAGUCAGAUGUGAAAUCCCCGGGCUCAGCCUGGGAACUGCAUCGGAUACUGGCAAGCUUGAGUCUCGUAGAGGGGGGUAGAAUUCCAGGUGUAGCGGUGAAAUGCGUAGAGAUCUGGAGGAAUACCGGUGGCGAAGGGGGCCCCCUGGACGAAGACUGACGCUCAGGUGCGAAAGCUUGGGGAGCAAACAGGAUUAGAUACCCUGGUAGUCCACGCCGUAAUCUUUCGACUUGGAGGUUGUGCCCUUGAGGCGUGGCUUCCGGAGCUAACGCG